This 24-nucleotide non-coding RNA is filed under the name Arabidopsis thaliana (thale cress). The record is from RNAcentral. Lineage: Eukaryota; Viridiplantae; Streptophyta; Magnoliopsida; Brassicales; Brassicaceae.
AUGAUGCUCCUUUUCAACUCUACC